UACGAAGGGGGCUAGCGUUGCUCGGAAUCACUGGGCGUAAAGCGCACGUAGGCGGAUUGUUAAGUCAGGGGUGAAAUCCUGGAGCUCAACUCCAGAACUGCCUUUGAUACUGGCGAUCUCGAGUCCGGAAGAGGUGAGUGGAAUUCCUAGUGUAGAGGUGAAAUUCGUAGAUAUUAGGAAGAACACCAGUGGCGAAGGCGGCUCACUGGUCCGGUACUGACGCUGAGGUGCGAAAGCGUGGGGAGCAAACAGG
This 253-nucleotide ribosomal RNA is filed under the name uncultured bacterium. RNAcentral's name for it is "partial 16S ribosomal RNA". It matches the Rfam family "Bacterial small subunit ribosomal RNA", at positions 524 to 776 of the family's 1533-position model. The record is from RNAcentral.